AUCUAGCUGACGAGUCCCGAAUAGGACGAAACGCGUGUUCUGGAU
This 45-nucleotide non-coding RNA is filed under the name Schistosoma curassoni. The record is from RNAcentral. Lineage: Eukaryota; Metazoa; Platyhelminthes; Trematoda; Strigeidida; Schistosomatidae.